RNAcentral lists this ribosomal RNA (713 nucleotides) under uncultured Actinomycetes bacterium. RNAcentral describes it as "bacterial SSU rRNA". It matches the Rfam family "Bacterial small subunit ribosomal RNA", at positions 703 to 1419 of the family's 1533-position model. The record is from RNAcentral. Lineage: Bacteria; Bacillati; Actinomycetota; Actinomycetes.
GGAACACCAAUGGCGAAGGCAGGACUCUGGGCCAUUACUGACACUGAGGAGCGAAAGCGUGGGGAGCGAACAGGAUUAGAUACCCUGGUAGUCCACGCCGUAAACGGUGGGCACUAGUUGUGGGGACCUUCCACGGUCUCUGCGACGCAGCUAACGCAUUAAGUGCCCCGCCUGGGGAGUACGAUCGCAAGAUUAAAACUCAAAGGAAUUGACGGGGCCCCGCACAAGCAGCGGAGCAUGCGGCUUAAUUCGACGCAACGCGAAGAACCUUACCAAGGCUUGACAUAUACAGGAAUAUGGCAGAGAUGUCAUAGCCGCAAGGUCUGUAUACAGGUGGUGCAUGGUUGUCGUCAGCUCGUGUCGUGAGAUGUUGGGUUAAGUCCCGCAACGAGCGCAACCCUCGUUCUGUGUUGCCAGCAUUUAGUUGGGGACUCACAGGAGACUGCCGGGGUUAACUCGGAGGAAGGUGGGGAUGACGUCAAAUCAUCAUGCCCCUUAUGUCUUGGGCUGCACGCAUGCUACAAUGGCUGGUACAAACGGCUGCAAUACCGCAAGGUGGAGCGAAUCCGAGAAAGCCAGUCUCAGUUCGGAUUGGGGUCUGCAACUCGACCCCAUGAAGUCGGAGUUGCUAGUAAUCGUAGAUCAGCAACGCUACGGUGAUACGUUCCCGGGGCUUGUACACACCGCCCGUCACGUCACGAAAGUCGGUAACA